This 120-nucleotide ribosomal RNA is filed under the name Rattus norvegicus (Norway rat). The record is from RNAcentral. Lineage: Eukaryota; Metazoa; Chordata; Mammalia; Rodentia; Muridae.
GUCUACAGCCUUACCACCCUGAACACGUCCAAACUCAUCUGAUCUUGGAAGCUGAGUGGGGUCUGGCCUGGUUAGUACUUGGAUAGGAAAACUGACUGGGAAUAUUUGGUGCUGUAGGCU